RNAcentral lists this ribosomal RNA (266 nucleotides) under uncultured bacterium. Its description in RNAcentral is "partial 16S ribosomal RNA". It matches the Rfam family "Bacterial small subunit ribosomal RNA", at positions 526 to 779 of the family's 1533-position model. The record is from RNAcentral.
CGGAGGGUGCGAGCGUUAAUCGGAGUAACUGGGCGUAAAGGGCACGCAGGCGGUGACUUAAGUGAGGUGUGAAAGCCCCGGGCGUUAACCUGGGAAUUGCAUUUCUAUACUGGGUCGGCUAGAGUACUUUAGGGUAGGGGGUAGGAAUUCCACGUGUAGCGGUGAAAUAGCGUAGAGAUGUGGAGGAAUACCGAAGGACGAAGGACAGCCCCUUCGGGAAGUGUACUGACGCUCAUGUGCGAAAGACGUGGGGAGCAAACAGGAUU